RNAcentral lists this ribosomal RNA (260 nucleotides) under uncultured bacterium. RNAcentral's name for it is "partial 16S ribosomal RNA". It matches the Rfam family "Bacterial small subunit ribosomal RNA", at positions 524 to 783 of the family's 1533-position model. The record is from RNAcentral.
UACGUAGGGUGCGAGCGUUAAUCGGAAUUACUGGGCGUAAAGCGUGCGCAGGCGGUUUUGUAAGCCAGAUGUGAAAUCCCCGGGCUUAACCUGGGAAUGGCAUUUGGGACUGCAAGGCUGGAGUGCGGCAGAGGAGACUGGAAUUCCUGGUGUAGCAGUGAAAUGCGUAGAUAUCAGGAGGAAUACCGAUGGCGAAGGCAGGUCUCUGGGCUGACACUGACGCUCAUGCACGAAAGCGUGGGGAGCAAACAGGAUUAGAA